RNAcentral lists this ribosomal RNA (526 nucleotides) under Lacticaseibacillus casei. RNAcentral's name for it is "bacterial SSU rRNA". It matches the Rfam family "Bacterial small subunit ribosomal RNA", at positions 314 to 832 of the family's 1533-position model. Lineage: Bacteria; Bacillati; Bacillota; Bacilli; Lactobacillales; Lactobacillaceae. The record is from RNAcentral.
UAGUUAUUAGACACGUCCCAAAGUCCUACGGGGGGCAGCAGUAGGGAAUCUUCCACAAUGGACGCAAGUCUGAUGGAGCAACGCCGCGUGAGUGAAGAAGGCUUUCGGGUCGUAAAACUCUGUUGUUGGAGAAGAAUGGUCGGCAGAGUAACUGUUGUCGGCGUGACGGUAUCCAACCAGAAAGCCACGGCUAACUACGUGCCAGCAGCCGCGGUAAUACGUAGGUGGCAAGCGUUAUCCGGAUUUAUUGGGCGUAAAGCGAGCGCAGGCGGUUUUUUAAGUCUGAUGUGAAAGCCCUCGGCUUAACCGAGGAAGCGCAUCGGAAACUGGGAAACUUGAGUGCAGAAGAGGACAGUGGAACUCCAUGUGUAGCGGUGAAAUGCGUAGAUAUAUGGAAGAACACCAGUGGCGAAGGCGGCUGUCUGGUCUGUAACUGACGCUGAGGCUCGAAAGCAUGGGUAGCGAACAGGAUUAGAUACCCAUGUAGUCCAAGCAGUAAACUAUGGGUGCCAGGUGUUGGAGAGUA